UACAGAGGGUGCAAGCGUUGUUCGGAAUUAUUGGGCGUAAAGCGCGUGUAGGCGGCCUUGCAAGUCGGGUGUGAAAGCCCUCAGCUCAACUGAGGAAGUGCGCCCGAAACUGCAGAGCUUGAGUACCGGAGAGGAUGGCGGAAUUCCCCAAGUAGAGGUGAAAUUCGUAGAUAUGGGGAGGAACACCGGUGGCGAAGGCGGCCAUCUGGACGGCCACUGACGCUGAGACGCGAAAGCGUGGGUAGCAAACAGG
RNAcentral lists this ribosomal RNA (253 nucleotides) under uncultured bacterium. Its description in RNAcentral is "partial 16S ribosomal RNA". It matches the Rfam family "Bacterial small subunit ribosomal RNA", at positions 524 to 776 of the family's 1533-position model. The record is from RNAcentral.